Coturnix japonica (Japanese quail) is the source of this 3310-nucleotide non-coding RNA. The record is from RefSeq and is a predicted model, not a curated record. Lineage: Eukaryota; Metazoa; Chordata; Aves; Galliformes; Phasianidae.
UGGUUCCUGUGUUGUUAGAAACGGAGGAGAACAUCAAGAAAUGGGACUUGAGAAGAACUGUUGGUGCAGCUGGGUGGUGGAAGGUUUCCUAGCUUCCAAAAACAUCUUUACUUUUAAUGUGUGGUGUUUGCUUACAACAGGGUCAGCUUUUGUGAGUACAUCUGGCACCACCAGAGAGAGAGAUGGCAGCAGAUGUGAGGAAGCAGAGCAGCUCUUUGAUUGCACUCCAGCUGUGCAAGUGGGGUCUUAAGUGAAGUGCUACAUUCAGUUCCCAGCUGAGAAGAAGGCUGCUGGAAGAAAUACCUGCCUGUUUCCAAAUUGUUGUGCAUUGGCUGAAAGUAGGAGCAAAGCAGAAUGAGCUGCAGUGGAUCGCGGCACUAACAAGUUUGGAUUUCUGCAUGGCGCUAGGUGUAUUGGAAGUAAAAUGUGUGAACUCCCUGGAAAGAAGAAUGAUGUCUUUUCAUUAUAAAGCAAACGAAUUACAUCUGUGGGAAGGUCAGAGCACUGUGUGGCCUGGGCAAUGAAGGCAGUGGCUGUGGAAGCCACCGCUGCUCCCAGGUACAAGCUGGGACAUGGGAGGAUGCAGCUCAUGGUAUACAGACUACUGACCUGGCAUUUAGGAUGCUGUAUAAUCCUGGAAGCUUUCUGUGUUUGGCUUUCCGGAGCGGAGCAUGGAGAAGAUGGGAAAGAUGAGUGCUCUCUUCACCAGGUUGGUAAGUCAUACUUUUCUGGAGCUGGUUACUUGAUAUCCUUACCACAAGUCACUUCCAUCUCAGCAAAAAGGAAGGUCUAGUUGGCUGGCUGUGAAUGACAUUGGUCAUGCUCUAUCCAAGACCUUUCUAGCCAGGAAAAAGAGGAGUCAGCAUAUUCUGGUGAGUACUGGAGCUGUGAAUCAGAGCAGUUUGUGUCAGCUGAAGAACUGACCUGCAUCUCUGCUUUGUAAUUUGGAAAGCUGUGUUGGAAAAUAGAUUUCCUUUGUGGUGUAUUGUGGUCACUCAUCAUUUCCUAUGUGUCCUUUCAAUCCCAGGGCAUUUCCUGUCUUGGGUACUGUAUUAAAACAGCCUCACCUGCUGGUUCAUUCCCCUGUACUGACACAUUUUCUAAUUGACCACGACAUGACAGACAGUUGAACCCUUUGCUACCUUAUUUGCUGUGAAAGGUUACUGAGUUGAGUGAAAUGUGUUUAGAAAGUAAGACAUUUGGCCUGGGGUUUAACCUUCAGAGUGCUGAGAGCCAGAGAAUUUGACUUCAGCUAUUGAGUGUACCCACAAAGCUGACAAGGAGAGAACUCUGCAUGCGCCUGAGUGAGAGGACAAUGUUCUGUGUUAUCAGGGGGGCCAAGGCUUUCCUACAAGAGCUCUGAGCCUCUUUGCAAUUGCUGACAGAGGCAGAGCUGUGUUUUUGCUCGGGGCUUUUCACACCUUGUCUUUGCAUAUGGAGACUUGGGUUUUACAUCCUUUGAACAGUUACCUCUGUCAGCAGCUUGUGUUUUGUGGCUCAGGCAAGUUUGAAGGUUUGCUUUUUGAUAUUUUCCUUUCUCCUGUUUUGCCAGUCCCAGUUUGAAAGAUGCACACUGUUACCAGGAGAACCAGGGAUGUGUCAGCAGAGCAAUUUACAGGUGGUCAAAUUUAGGGUUUUUGGAACAAAUGCGCCAUUGAACUGAAACAUUGCAUAGCCAAUGCACGGUGAUUUUUUCUGAUGAGAUCUGCAAGGGGGGAACAGACUGGGAACUGCUGAAGACAUCAGAAAUUCCCUUGUGGGCCAGCACACGUAGCAGCUUAGCUGUGUGUUUUCAUGUAGAGUGGGUUGGAUGGGUCCUCAGUCUAUGUGAGAUGGCCCUUGUGUAGCCACGGGGCUGAGUUUUGUUCUCUAGAGAAAGUGUUUGUGUUGAACUGCUUUAAACUUUUCCCCUAUGCUGUAUAUCCUGUAUACAUUCAGCACGUUAUUCAAAGGCAGUACAGAGCUUAUAAUAUCAAAAUACAUUUGCAAUCUAUUUGUUAUUUUCUAAUUUUUAAUCUCUUUCAAGGGUAACUAUACCUACCAAGAAGACCUUUCCUUCUAUAUACAACACUGUAUUUAAAACUACUCAAAAUAUUCUUCUUUUGCACUUGUCUUUAAAUACUUUCAGGCCAAGUAAACCUUGCUGCAAGAAUAUGCUGACUGCAUGCAGGAGUUUGACCCUGUGUGUCGAAGUAAGCAAAUUCAAUUACGUUUGCUUCUCUUGCACUGUGUUGAGUAGAACAAGAAGAGUUUCAUGGUAACAUCACCAAUAAAACAAAGGAAACAAAAUCCUUUGAAAAGAACCAGCUUGGUCAGCUCGUUCUUUCUUCCCCCGGUGAUGAAAGAAAGAAAUAGUUUUUUUUUGGAGACAGAACACAGCAUUUUUACAAAGGAAGCCUGUUUCAGGGUCUGGGGUGUUAUACUGGGAUGGAAAUUGAUCUUGGUUGAGUCUUCAGACUCAGUUCUUUGCACUCAGGUGGUCUUGGUUUUCAGGGUUUUCAGACUUUUCUCUUCUCUUUUGGGGCCAUUGUGAGGUAAAAAGGACCACACUGCUCUUCAGUGAUUGCAGACAUCUUCAAGCUUGCAGGAAAACCCUGGAGAGACAAGAGGGUGCUCUCUCAAUGGGAGCCAGUGGACAUAACAGGAACUGUUGUGUACACAUUAGAACAGAGAAUGAUUCAAGUCAGACAUGUGGAAGUUGCAGCUCUUGCCACAUAUUACACACCGAGACCAAGUUCUGAUCCUCUUAAGAUAUGAAACAUCUUUUACAAUUCCUCUAGUUAAAGCUGCUGAUCAGGGUCUUGAGGUACAAGAGGCAAAAUCUUCAACAAACAUCUGAUGUGAGAACACCAUUGCUGUUCCAUUUUGGAGCGUGCUUGGGGUGUCUCGUGAGUAAGCAGCGGGUCUGUCAGAAAAAUUCUCAGGAUAAUUUGGGUUGAUUCAAUUUCUCAUUAAAUUUGCAGAUGCAUUCCAGUGAUCUGAAGCACGAGAUGAGGUGAGAGCUGUGUGUUUAGGCAUGGGAGAGUGCUAAAUAGGGAUGAGAGUAGAAGUGGGUAUUGCAGCAUUUAAAAGCAUUCAAGUAUGUGACAUUAGCUUGGGUAGCAAAUAUCACAGUUAAUUACCCAGAGGUCCUAUGUACCUACGAAGUCUGGGGUUGUUUUAUGCGUUUACCUGUGUUGAUGCCUGGUGGUUUAUAGGAAAAAUAUUGCUCAUUUUAUUCAUACCCAGAAGUAAGAAGGCAGCACUCAUUUCUGGGAGGUAUAGUCAUGACUGUUCUUCCUGAACCAUUUCUGGAUUUCAUACUUUCUCG